UACGUAGGCAGCGAGCGUUGUUCGGAAUUACUGGGCGUAAAGAGUGUGUAGUCGGUGUUCCCAGUCUGUUGUGAAAUCUCCCGGCUUAACUGGGAGGGUGCAGCGGAAACUAGAAUGCUAGAGGGUGGGAGAGGUAAGCGGAAUUCCUGGUGUAGCGGUGAAAUGCGUAGAUAUCAGGAGGAACACCUGUGGUGUAGACAGCUUACUGGACCACUUCUGACGCUGAGACACGAAAGCGUGGGUAGCAAACAGG
This 253-nucleotide ribosomal RNA is filed under the name uncultured bacterium. RNAcentral describes it as "partial 16S ribosomal RNA". It matches the Rfam family "Bacterial small subunit ribosomal RNA", at positions 524 to 776 of the family's 1533-position model. The record is from RNAcentral.